This 250-nucleotide ribosomal RNA is filed under the name uncultured bacterium. RNAcentral's name for it is "partial 16S ribosomal RNA". It matches the Rfam family "Bacterial small subunit ribosomal RNA", at positions 524 to 773 of the family's 1533-position model. The record is from RNAcentral.
CACGAACCUCCAAACGUUAUUCGGAAUCAUUGGGCUUAAAGGGUGCGUAGGCGGCGCUUUAAGUCGGGUGUGAAAUCCCUCGGCUCAACCGAGGAACUGCGCCCGAUACUGGAGUGCUAGAGGGAGACAGGGGUGAGCGGAACUGAUGGUGGAGCGGUGAAAUGCGUUGAUAUCAUCAGGAACACCGGUGGCGAAAGCGGCUCACUGGGGUCUCUACUGACGCUGAGGCACGAAAGCCAGGGUAGCGAAC